CACGUAGGGAGCAAGCGUUGUCCGGAUUUAUUGGGCGUAAAGAGCUCGUAGGUGGUUCGGUAAGUCAGGUGUGAAACCUCCAGGCUCAACCUGGAGACGCCACUUGAUACUGCUGUGACUGGAGUCCGGUAGGGGAGCGUGGAAUUCCUGGUGUAGCGGUGAAAUGCGCAGAUAUCAGGAGGAACACCAGCGGCGAAGGCGGCGCUCUGGGCCGGUACUGACACUGAGGAGCGAAAGCGUGGGGAGCGAACAGG
RNAcentral lists this ribosomal RNA (254 nucleotides) under uncultured bacterium. RNAcentral's name for it is "partial 16S ribosomal RNA". It matches the Rfam family "Bacterial small subunit ribosomal RNA", at positions 524 to 776 of the family's 1533-position model. The record is from RNAcentral.